Molecule: ribosomal RNA, 496 nt
Filed under: uncultured bacterium
Lineage: Bacteria
Description: partial 16S ribosomal RNA
Rfam family: Bacterial small subunit ribosomal RNA
Source: RNAcentral
AUGAACGCUGGCGGCGUGCCUAAUACAUGCAAGUCGAGCGAACAGAUGAGGAGCUUGCUCCUCUGACGUUAGCGGCGGACGGGUGAGUAACACGUGGAUAACCUACCUAUAAGACUGGGAUAACUUCGGGAAACCGGAGCUAAUACCGGAUAAUAUAUUGAACCGCAUGGUUCAAUAGUGAAAGACGGUUUUGCUGUCACUUAUAGAUGGAUCCGCGCCGCAUUAGCUAGUUGGUAAGGUAACGGCUUACCAAGGCAACGAUGCGUAGCCGACCUGAGAGGGUGAUCGGCCACACUGGAACUGAGACACGGUCCAGACUCCUACGGGAGGCAGCAGUAGGGAAUCUUCCGCAAUGGGUGAAAGCCUGACGGAGCAACGCCGCGUGAGUGAUGAAGGUCUUCGGAUCGUAAAACUCUGUUAUUAGGGAAGAACAAAUGUGUAAGUAACUAUGCACGUCUUGACGGUACCUAAUCAGAAAGCCACGGCUAACUACGUG